GCGGACGGGUGAGUAAUGUCUGGGAAACUGCCUGAUGGAGGGGGAUAACUACUGGAAACGGUAGCUAAUACCGCAUGACCUCGCAAGAGCAAAGUGGGGGACCUUCGGGCCUCACGCCAUCGGAUGUGCCCAGAUGGGAUUAGCUAGUAGGUGGGGUAAUGGCUCACCUAGGCGACGAUCCCUAGCUGGUCUGAGAGGAUGACCAGCCACACUGGAACUGAGACACGGUCCAGACUCCUACGGGAGGCAGCAGUGGGGAAUAUUGCACAAUGGGCGCAAGCCUGAUGCAGCCAUGCCGCGUGUGUGAAGAAGGCCUUCGGGUUGUAAAGCACUUUCAGCGAGGAGGAAGGCAAUCGUGUUAAUAGCACGGUUGAUUGACGUUACUCGCAGAAGAAGCACCGGCUAACUCCGUGCCAGCAGCCGCGGUAAUACGGAGGGUGCAAGCGUUAAUCGGAAUUACUGGGCGUAAAGCGCACGCAGGCGGUUUGUUAAGUCAGAUGUGAAAUCCCCGCGCUUAACGUGGGAACUGCAUUUGAAACUGGCAAGCUAGAGUCUUGUAGAGGGGGGUAGAAUUCCAGGUGUAGCGGUGAAAUGCGUAGAGAUCUGGAGGAAUACCGGUGGCGAAGGCGGCCCCCUGGACAAAGACUGACGCUCAGGUGCGAAAGCGUGGGGAGCAAACAGGAUUAG
Molecule: ribosomal RNA, 687 nt
Filed under: Yersinia pekkanenii
Lineage: Bacteria; Pseudomonadati; Pseudomonadota; Gammaproteobacteria; Enterobacterales; Yersiniaceae
Description: bacterial SSU rRNA
Rfam family: Bacterial small subunit ribosomal RNA
Source: RNAcentral